UACGACUAUAUCACGUUCAAACAUCGGUUGUGAUCCGAUCACCAAAACUAAGCAACGUCGAGCCUGGUCAGUAUCUAGAUGGGUGACUACUUGGGAAUACCACGUGCUGUAA
Molecule: non-coding RNA, 112 nt
Organism: Acanthosepion pharaonis
Lineage: Eukaryota; Metazoa; Mollusca; Cephalopoda; Sepiida; Sepiidae
Source: the annotation of a GenBank genome assembly